RNAcentral lists this transfer RNA (82 nucleotides) under Bacteroidota bacterium. RNAcentral describes it as "Bacteroidetes bacterium (freshwater metagenome) tRNA-Leu". It matches the Rfam family "tRNA". From Rfam's summary of the family: Transfer RNA (tRNA) molecules are approximately 80 nucleotides in length. Lineage: Bacteria; Pseudomonadati; Bacteroidota. The record is from RNAcentral.
GCGGGUGUGGUGAAAUUGGUAGACACGCCAGACUUAGGAUCUGGUGCCGCAAGGCAUGGGGGUUCGAGUCCCUCCACCCGCA